UAAAUGGCAUAAAAUACCAUACCAAAUUAAUCACAAUUUUAAAAAUUGCUUAAGUCCUGAUUCUAAUAAAAAUUUUAAUCUUAAGACUGUUUUUAAAAUGGAGUGAAUGUAAUUUGCAUGUUAAAAACAAAAAAAUGGGCACUACCUGCUAAUGUGUUAUGUACACUAAUUUGAAAGGAUAGAGUUUCUUGUGGAAAUGAACAGAGAUCAUUUCCUGUUAUGUCCUCAGCACAACUACUAUCAUUUCUGAGACGAAUCCACUUAAUUAUAUUUGUAGUAACACAUUAUUUUGGAGCAAACUUACUUGAUUGUAAAUCACAAAAUUCUUAUCUAAGGCUUGCUUUAAGACACCUAAACUAUUAUACUGCAGUUUACAUGUGUUUCGUGAAAUUGAGCUGGAUUUUGUUAGGCAAUAUAAGAUAUUUACUAUUGGCAAAUUGUCUUUAUUGAUUAUUUUGAGUUAUUUUCAGUCUUUCAUGUGUUCCAAAUAAUGAUAAAUUGGACAGAUAAAGAACCUUACUGCAGCUGAUAUGUCUUCAUAAAUCAUUUUUCUUCAGCAGCUUGGUGUCCUAAUUCUUAUGAUAAAUUGCCACUUUGUCACUGGGGAGUUUGGUUAGAGAGAUGUUCAGUGCUCCUGAUCAUGCCCUUUCCAUAGUAUAGUGACAUACUUAAAAGCAGCAGUUAUCUUGGGACUCCAUUGUAGAGGGUAUUGGUUUGGUAGUCUGAGGCAGCAUAAUCUUGGUAGGAGUUCUGGCCUUAAAUUGAACCUUCAGGGCCUAUGCCAUUGUGCUUACAUGGAGAUGUGUGCUCCCAAAGUGAGGUACAUAUAACCUUUAACCUUAGUUCAUCUUUUAUACUUGUCAAACCCAACUGGACAAAAAAAUGCAAUGACUACUCAUUAGGAACAUCAUGCCCUUGUAAAAUCAAUAAUUCUGCAUAGAGGAACAUGGUUAAAAAUGUAGACUUAACCACAAAUUAUUUUAAUGGGCAAAAUAGUAAAUCCUUCUGUUUAGCCUCUUAUCACUUAAAAAUUACUAAACUUAAGCUAUUUUCAUUAAGAGUUCUGGGAUAAUAUUGAGUUAUCACUGGGAUAAGUGUUGCAUUGCUGAUAAUCUUCUGGGCCCAUUUUCCAAGUGAGUGGUGAGAAUUUCUGCAACUGAAAUUGCAUCAGAACUCUGAAUAAGCCAAAUAAUUUGACUUCCUGUCAACUGUUCAAAAUAUCUUGAACUUUUUUCUUUAAGGUAAUGAGGACCAAAUUAGCUAUUGGUAUUUAUUUCUGAUGGUAGUGCAAGUUUCGUCUCUGGACUCCACCAUGCUAUUACGUCGUAACCAGCAAGGUGUUACGUGAACUGUUAAAGAAAUAAGACUCACACAUGAGCAUUCAUCUCAUUUUCCUGCUCUGCCCAGAACUACCUAUAUUGCAAGAUGGCGUUUCAAAUGCUGCUUAUGUGAAAUAUACCAGCUUUAACCUGAACUGCUGAGUGGGAAAUAUCUUUGAUUUGCUGAGUUCAGUACAUUCAGAAAUGCCACUGCCUGACUUUGUCCUACUCUUUGCAACCAGCAAGAUGUUUGAAUUCUCAAGAACAAGAGUUUCUGGUAUCAACUGGUGCUAAUUGCACACUAGACAACACUUGCAGCUGCCAGAAGUCACGGUUUUCAAGAUAUUUUGAAUGUUUCAGAAGCUAAUUUUCAUCAUGUCUGAUAGUUUAAUAUUUUGACUAUAUUCUAAAGUUAUCCAUCUGUAUUGAUACAAUGAAAAUUGAUCAGAACCUUUUUAAGUCAGAUUCUCCAUUGUAUUUAAACAUUGCCAAAUACUUUUUUUGAGAGAAUUAUCAGCCUUCAUCUUAACUCUAAAAUAACAUGGUAACACUGAUUUUAUUUCAGUUAACUUUUAAUCUGCUGUUUCAAGAAUGUUAAAUAUGUUAAAAGUAAAUGGUUUUGCUUAUGAAGAUGGUAGAGUGACAGCUCUGAUGCUUGAAGUAUUUUAUCCAGAGGCCAGACAUUUAUGUGAAGAACACAAUAUAAGCUUUUCUAAUCCCAGUCUGAGUUGACAGGACCCCCCCACUAGGGGUGAAGAGGGUACUUGUGUUCAUGCCUACUCAAAUCUUGUCCCCUGCUUUGCCCGACAUCAAGUAUGUAGGAUGUGAUGGUGGUUUUGUAAUGCAGAACUGCAUCUGCAAGAAAUGAUCCUGGCACUACCCAGUUGUAUGAUGCUAGGGAAAAUUCAAAAGCAAAUUCAAGGUACUGCCACAUUGGACCUCCCUGGUCUGGCACCCUUAGCUGUCCCAGGGGAGGUCAGUGCUCCCCUGCUGAUUGCCUUGCUCCUGGGCUUCUUUCCUGAAGGCUCUUGGCCCUGCUGCCCCAGAGUGCUCCUUGGGGUUCUUGGCUGGGGCUGUCCAUCUGCUGCCAACCCCCCUGCUGCUCAGGCCCACCUCAGCAAGCCUUGCUUCAGCUGGGAUUGUUGGCGGGGACUGACUAGCUGCCAACAGCUCCACUGCAACCAGAGGUUCCUUGGCUGGGCCUCCCUCGUCACCUGGCCCUGCUAAUCCCAGGUGUUCCCUGGCUGGUUCUGCAGCUUCCUGGCCCUGCUGAUGCUGGGGGUUCCCUGGCCAGGCAGGUCUCCUCAGAUUCUGCCUGGCCCAGUCAGGCUUCCCUAGUCCCCAUUUCUCCCACCUUUGGGGUUGUUUGGUCUAGCAAAGUCCGUGGCCCUGAUUUGGGAGGUGCAACCUGUAUUUAUCUGUUUUGCCAAGAAAAUCUUCCAAUCACCGGGUGUAAAUUCCAACUUUUUUUUUCAAUAGAAUACUAGAACUGGAAGGAACCCUGAGAGGUCCCCUACCCUCAUGGGAGGACCAAACACCUUCUAGACCAGUGGUCUCCAACCUUUUUAC
This is a long non-coding RNA of Pelodiscus sinensis (Chinese soft-shelled turtle), 2888 nucleotides long. RefSeq lists it as uncharacterized. The record is from RefSeq and is a predicted model, not a curated record. Lineage: Eukaryota; Metazoa; Chordata; Testudines; Trionychidae.